Molecule: ribosomal RNA, 512 nt
Filed under: uncultured bacterium
Lineage: Bacteria
Description: partial 16S ribosomal RNA
Rfam family: Bacterial small subunit ribosomal RNA
Source: RNAcentral
GAUGAACGCUGGCGGCGUGCCUAAUACAUGCAAGUCGAACGAAACUUCUUUAUCACCGAGUGCUUGCACUCACCGAUAAAGAGUUGAGUGGCGAACGGGUGAGUAACACGUGGGCAACCUGCCCAAAAGAGGGGGAUAACACUUGGAAACAGGUGCUAAUACCGCAUAACCAUAGUUACCGCAUGGUAACUAUGUAAAAGGUGGCUAUACUACCGCUUUUGGAUGGGCCCGCGGCGCAUUAGCUAGUUGGUAGGGUAAGGGCUUACCAAGGUAAUGAUGCGUAGCCGAAUUGAGAGGUUGAUCGGCCACAUUGGGACUGAGACACGGCCCAAACUCCUACGGGAGGCAGCAGUAGGGAAUCUUCCACAAUGGGCGAAAGCCUGAUGGAGCAACGCCGCGUGGGUGAAGAAGGUCUUCGGAUCGUAAAACCCUGUUGUUAGAGAAGAAAGUGCGUGAGAGUAACUGUUCACGUUUCGACGGUAUCUAACCAGAAAGCCACGGCUAACUACGUG